This 30-nucleotide small RNA is filed under the name Bombyx mori (domestic silkworm). RNAcentral's name for it is "ovarian small RNA-31328". The record is from RNAcentral. Lineage: Eukaryota; Metazoa; Arthropoda; Insecta; Lepidoptera; Bombycidae.
UGACAAUUAUUGGAGGCGUGCCCGAAGGCC